GUGGGGAAUAUUGGACAAUGGGCGAAAGCCUGAUCCAGCCAUGCCGCGUGUGUGAAGAAGGUCUUCGGAUUGUAAAGCACUUUAAGUUGGGAGGAAGGGCAGUAAGUUAAUACCUUGCUGUUUUGACGUUACCGACAGAAUAAGCACCGGCUAACUUCGUGCCAGCAGCCGCGGUAAUACGAAGGGUGCAAGCGUUAAUCGGAAUUACUGGGCGUAAAGCGCGCGUAGGUGGUUUUGUAAGUUGGAGGUGAAAUCCCAGGGCUCAACCUGGGAACUGCCUCCAAAACUGCAUGACUAGAGUACGGUAGAGGGUAGUGGAAUUUCCUGUGUAGCGGUGAAAUGCGUAGAUAUAGGAAGGAACACCAGUGGCGAAGGCGACUACCUGGACUGAUACUGACACUGAGGUGCGAAAGCGUGGGGAGCAAACAGGAUUAGAUACCCUAGUAGUCC
RNAcentral lists this ribosomal RNA (450 nucleotides) under uncultured bacterium. Its description in RNAcentral is "partial 16S ribosomal RNA". It matches the Rfam family "Bacterial small subunit ribosomal RNA", at positions 354 to 796 of the family's 1533-position model. The record is from RNAcentral.